Molecule: ribosomal RNA, 245 nt
Filed under: uncultured bacterium
Lineage: Bacteria
Description: partial 16S ribosomal RNA
Rfam family: Bacterial small subunit ribosomal RNA
Source: RNAcentral
UACGGAGGAUGCAGGCGUUAUCCGGAUUUAUUAGGUUUAAAGGGUGCGUAGGCGGGCGUAUAAGUCAGUGGUGAAAUCCUAUAGCUUAACUAUAGCACUGCCAUUGAAACUGUAUGUCUUGAAUGCGGUUGAGGUUUGCGGAAUGUGUAAUGUAGCGGUGAAAUGCAUAGAUAUUACACAGAACACCGAUUGCGAAGGCAGCAAACUAAGCCGUGAUUGACGCUGAGGCACGAAAGCGUGGGGAU